UACGGGGGGUGCGAGCGUUGUCCGGAAUCACUGGGCGUAAAGGGCGCGUAGGUGGCUUUGUAAGUUUGCGGUGAAAGCCCGGGGCUCAACCCCGGGUCUGCCGUGGAUACUGCAAGGCUUGAGUACUGUAGAGGCAGGUAGAAUAUCGGGUGUAGCGGUGGAAUGCGUAGAGAUCCGAUAGAAGACCGGUGGCGAAGGCGGCCUGCUGGACCUCUUCUGACGCUGAGGCGCGAAAGCUAGGGGAGCAAACGGG
RNAcentral lists this ribosomal RNA (253 nucleotides) under uncultured bacterium. RNAcentral describes it as "partial 16S ribosomal RNA". It matches the Rfam family "Bacterial small subunit ribosomal RNA", at positions 524 to 776 of the family's 1533-position model. The record is from RNAcentral.